This 253-nucleotide ribosomal RNA is filed under the name uncultured bacterium. RNAcentral describes it as "partial 16S ribosomal RNA". It matches the Rfam family "Bacterial small subunit ribosomal RNA", at positions 524 to 776 of the family's 1533-position model. The record is from RNAcentral.
UACGUAGGGUGCGAGCGUUGUCCGGAAUUAUUGGGCGUAAAGAGCUCGUAGGCGGUCUGUUGCGUCGGGAGUGAAAACUUACAGCUUAACUGUGAGCGUGCUUUCGAUACGGGCAGACUUGAGGCAUUCAGGGGAGAACGGAAUUCCUGGUGUAGCGGUGAAAUGCGCAGAUAUCAGGAGGAACACCGGUGGCGAAGGCGGUUCUCUGGGAAUGUCCUGACGCUGAGGAGCGAAAGUGUGGGGAGCAAACAGG